Non-coding RNA from Ictidomys tridecemlineatus (thirteen-lined ground squirrel), 2311 nucleotides. The record is from RefSeq and is a predicted model, not a curated record. Lineage: Eukaryota; Metazoa; Chordata; Mammalia; Rodentia; Sciuridae.
CCCUGGAAACACGCCCCUUUAAAAGCAGCGGCGGCGCCGUCUCCGGAACGCUGAAGGGUUGGGAGGACCCUGAGGGGUGGUCCGCCGUGACUUCUCCGGGCGUCCUGGUGACGUUGCAGGUAGACAGGCGUUUCCGGUGUGAAACCUCAGGGAGGCGCUGUGCCUCGGAAACCUCUGCUGUGAAACGAGGCUAGGCCGGGCGCGGUGGUGCCGCCUGCUGUCCCCGCCGCUCCGGAGGCCCAGGCUGGAGGAUGCAAGUCCGAAGCCAGCCCAGCAACGUAGCGAGGCCCUGUCGCAAAAUAAAAUAUGAAAAGGGCUGGGAGUGUGGCUCAGUGGCUAAGCACCCCUGGUUAACCCCCCAGUACCUAGUAGUGGUGACAGUAGUAGUAUUAAUAAUCAUGAAACGAGCUAGCCUCGAGGAAACGCUGUGAGGGUAAGGUGACAGGGCGCGUGCUGAGCUCCAGCGUCCCAGCUCCUGCUGUCAGCGCUCAGUGUGGUGCAGCAGGUGCUGCAGAAGCUGAGGUUUCCCUUAGUUCUCACGUGUCUUUCAACCCCCAUGCACACACACUCUCCCUCCCUUCCUUCCCGGCUCUCCUUUCUCUCCACUUUUUAUAUAAUCCCUUAUUUGAAUAGGGUUUUGUCAUUAGCAGAGUCUCCACUGUGACAUCUGGUCCACGCUGUGAACUCCAAAGAAAACUGGGCGCAGAGAGGUUACGAAAUAUGACUUAUAGUCUUUGCAAUGAUGAGAAAGCAGAACGUCUGGCUCUUAAACCAUGCCCGUGUCUGCGCUGAGGAAUCGUGGUCCCUCUGGAUUUUACCCCGUUUCCUUCUUGUCACUCUUCCCCUCCCACUUGUCAGAGGCUGGCUUUUGUCUUUUUCCCUUCCCUGCAUGUACUCCUGUUAGUCUGUGUUCCUCUGGGUCUUCCAUCGCCCCUCCCACUGGUCUCCCUCUUCUAUAUAUUCCCUUGGACUCCUUUCCCUCUCAUUCAACGUUUUUCCUGUUAUUUCUCCAGUAACUAGCAUAACCCAGUGAUCCUUCCCAGGUUUCAGACGUCAGUGGGAAAGGGAUGAAAAUUAUCUUAACAAGACAACUUCAAGAGUCUUUUCAGGGGCUGGGGUUGUCGCUCAGUGGUAGAGCGCUUGCCUAGCAUGUGUGAGGCACUGGGUUCGAUUCUCAGCACCACAUAUAAAUAAAUGAGUGAAAUAAAGAUCCAUCAACAUCUAAAAAAAAUUUUAAAAGAGAGUCUUUUCAAAAACUGGUUUUCUAUGCUUGUAAAGAAAGUCUUGAAACUUAUUAGGAUUCAGAAAAAAUAAUAACAGGAGUUAUUAGUGUUAGUUGAAUACUUAUUAUGUACUGGCAUUGCAGCAGACCCUAUAUAUGAUCACAUUUUCCCUCCCAGCAGCUCUGUGAAGAAGGCGUUCCAUUUUCCCUCGGCCUGCUCGGGAUGCUCAUAGUGGUUCUAUGGGAAUUGAAGCCUAGGUGGCAGCUGUAGUGCUGGAUUGUGAAUCUUUCUUCUUUUCCAAUACAUGCAAUCAGUGCUGUAAAUUUGCCUCUCUGCUGAGCUUUCGUUGCAUCCCACAAAUUUUGACUUGCAGGUGCUGUGACUCAAAUGUGUCCCCCAGAUUCAUGUUUUGGAGGCUUGCUUCCCAGAGGAGAGGCAUGGGGUGAGAUGUUCUGUUCAAGUCACGGGUGGAGGCCUCAGGAGCGCACAGUGCUGUUACGAGGAGAGCCGGCCAGGUGCUGCGAGAGCACAUUGUCACCGCAGGUCUGCCUCUGGGGCCUGUCUCUUCCACCUGCACCUGUUCGUUCUUCUGCUUUCCUGCCAUGAAGUAAUGAAGCCCCAAAGUGUUCUGCACCAGAAUCAAAGUAUCAAGGUCAAACUCUGUGGCCAUGCCCUUGGCCUUCUGGCUUCUGGAAUCAUCAGCCAAAUAAACUUCUCUUCUUUAUAAGUUGCUCAGUCCAUGGUGUUCUGUUAUAGCAACAGAAAACAGUGAAGACAGUGUAGAGGGUUCAGCUUUCUGUGAUUGACUUCUAGAUGAAUUCCACUGUGGCCUGAGAGCAUACAUUGUAUGAUUUCUGCUCUUUUAACUGUGGAAAAGGGGCUGGGGCUGGGGCUCAGUGGUAGAGCGCUUGCCUAGCAUCCAUGAGGCACUGGGUUCAAUCCUCAGCCUCACAUAAAAAUAAAAUAAAGGUAUUGUGUCCAACUAUAUAUAACUAAAAAAUAAAUGUUAAAAGAUGUUUGAAUAUGGAAGAAGAGGGGCUUGAUGGGCAAGAAUGUGGUGUGUCUUGGUGAAUGUUCCAUGGGAGCUU